UUUUAAUAUUUGUUGUUAUAGAUUGGCGCUUCAUGGGACAGCUCUAUUAAGGAUCUGUAUUGGUGUAACCUAUUUGGCCUUGUGGUUGGUUCCUGGUGCAAAUUGGGUAGAAGUCGGUCUUGGUUUUGUGGUUAGAUAUUGAAGGGAUUACCUCGAGGUGUCGAUCCUGUCUACGAUGGCCACCUACCCUUUAGCUAUAUGAGAUUGAGAAGAUGUGAACUUUGCUGCCUUUUCCUGUAACCACCAUUUAGG
RNAcentral lists this unclassified non-coding RNA (252 nucleotides) under Hevea brasiliensis (rubber tree). The record is from RNAcentral. Lineage: Eukaryota; Viridiplantae; Streptophyta; Magnoliopsida; Malpighiales; Euphorbiaceae.